UACGUAGGCAGCGAGCGUUGUUCGGAAUUACUGGGCGUAAAGAGUGUGUAGGCGGUGCUCCCAGUCUGUUGUGAAAUCUCCCGGCUUAACUGGGAGGGUGCAGCGGAAACUAGAGUGCUAGAGGGUGGGAGAGGUAAGCGGAAUUCCUGGUGGUAGCGGUGAAAUGCGUAGAUAUCAGGAGGAACACCUGUGGUGUAGACAGCUUACUGGACCACUUCUGACGCUGAGACACGAAAGCGUGGGUAGCAAACAGG
This 254-nucleotide ribosomal RNA is filed under the name uncultured bacterium. RNAcentral describes it as "partial 16S ribosomal RNA". It matches the Rfam family "Bacterial small subunit ribosomal RNA", at positions 524 to 776 of the family's 1533-position model. The record is from RNAcentral.